RNAcentral lists this non-coding RNA (782 nucleotides) under Pan troglodytes (chimpanzee). Lineage: Eukaryota; Metazoa; Chordata; Mammalia; Primates; Hominidae. The record is from RNAcentral.
AGAAAUCUUACAGGCAAAGGCUAUUCGACAUUUGGGAUUCCUAAGCUAAUCUUUUUAUUUUUGGAAGGGUGUCUUUCUGAGAAAGGCAGCCAGAGGCACAGCACCAACCUUUCUGACAGUGUGGUCUUCACACUGUUAGUUCUGACAAAGGGAGUCAAGGAGUCGUCCUUGGAGGAGGCGAUGAGGCCAGUGGAAGAAUUGUGGCUGGGGACCCCUCCACUGCUGAGGGAGAUGUCGAUGGACUCACAGCUGGUGUGGAGGCUGCUGAUAGACUGAAAGCCCAGGCCAUCCUUGCUAACUGCGGAGGAGCUGCUGGCGUUGGUGCCCCAGGGCCAAGACAGCCCCAGCCUCUUACCAGUUCCUGGGGUCUUCAGUGCGCCUGCCGGGGCUGAAGGCUUCGUCCUUGGCAUGGUGAUGCCCACCUGAGCUGUCAUGCCUCGCCGCCAUGAGCCUGUCUGGGAGAUGACAGGAUUCUUCUUGCCCGACGUGCUUUUGUCGGACUCGUCAGACACAUCAGAAGGAUUCCGCCUCCACUUGGAACCUGGCUCCAUUUUUAUGCCGCUGUCUGAGCCUCCGUCUGAUUUCUUGACAUCAUCACCAGACCACAGGGAAUUCCUCUCCACCUGUGAGUGCUUCUCAGCAUCAGUCUAUGGACAGAGACUCUCUGAAUUAGUCCUUCCCCAAUCCCAGGCUGGGAAGCCCCUCACUCCAAAGGCAAAAAUGCCAAAACACUGGAGUAGUUAAGGGAAAAAUAAUCAUUACUUUAAAGAUGUUUGGACUUU